ACGCCCCCACGGAAAGGAGAAGAAUUUGUCUAGCUUCUCCACCAGUUUAACAUACUUCAACGUCGGCUUCGGCUUCUGCGUUUUUGGCAUCAGCACCCCGUCAACAAUGAUGAUCAGGCAUAUUCUAAACUUCUUCCUCUGCGACAGAGUUGUGUCACCAGCGACCAAGGCUGCAAGGUCUUCUAAACUCAAGUUACGCCUACCCCCAAACAACUUGUCCCAGAAAACAUAAUCUGCUUUCUUCGGCUUCGGUUUAUCAUCUACCUCGUAUCCCUGCUCAAACUCCCCACAAGCCAAGCCAGUAACAUGGC
This 311-nucleotide long non-coding RNA is filed under the name Brassica napus (rape). Its description in RNAcentral is "long non-coding RNA (BNAP_LNC011482)". The record is from RNAcentral. Lineage: Eukaryota; Viridiplantae; Streptophyta; Magnoliopsida; Brassicales; Brassicaceae.